CUGUACUGUCUACUCCUUGUAUAAUACCUAGCUCUGACAUUUCUGUUGUUCAUGAGACAUGUCAUUUCCCUCGCACCGGGUGCACUGCAAAACGUUAGCGUGUUGCUAACGAGCGAAGUCAACUGAAAUCAGCCAAAGCUGCAUAACUAAGAUUGUGCAACUAAACACAACUAAGUAUAAUGUAAACAACCUUACUGUUGUGAAAACGUCCUCGAAACUGUGCAAAGUUCUGCAAACUCGUCCUCCUGUGUAACUGCUGCUGCGUUUGUUUAGCUGUUGCGCCUGCAUUUGCCGCGGCUUUUUUAAAAUGGCUCUGCUGCUUCCGCAUAAAUCAACC
Sander lucioperca (pikeperch) is the source of this 337-nucleotide long non-coding RNA. RefSeq lists it as uncharacterized. The record is from RefSeq and is a predicted model, not a curated record. The transcript is spliced from 4 exons. Lineage: Eukaryota; Metazoa; Chordata; Actinopteri; Perciformes; Percidae.